Molecule: ribosomal RNA, 456 nt
Filed under: uncultured bacterium
Lineage: Bacteria
Description: bacterial SSU rRNA
Rfam family: Bacterial small subunit ribosomal RNA
Source: RNAcentral
UACGGGAGGCAGCAGUGGGGAAUAUUGCACAAUGGGCGAAAGCCUGAUGCAGCUAUGCCGCGUGUAUGAAGAAGGCCUUAGGGUUGUAAAGUACUUUCAGCAGGGAGGAAAGAAAUAAAACUAAUAAUUUUAUUUUGUGACGUUACCUGAAGAAGAAGCACCGGCUAACUCCGUGCCAGCAGCCGCGGUAAUACGGAGGGUGCAAGCGUUAAUCAGAAUUACUGGGCGUAAAGAGCGCGUAGGUGGUUUUUUUAAGUCAGAUGUGAAAUCCCUAGGCUUAACCUAGGAACUGCAUUUUGAAACUGAAAACUAGAGUAUCGUAGAGGGAGGUAGAAUUCUAGGUGUAGCGGUGAAAUGCGUAGAGAUGUGGAGGAAUACCGGUGGCGAAGGCGGCCCCUGGACAAAGACUGACGCUCAUGUGCGAAAGCGUGGGGAGCGAAACAGGGAUUAGAUACC